GGAAGUAAAAGUCUAACAAGGUCUUCGUAGGUGAACCUGCGGAGGGAUCAUUCCCACAAUUUGUAGGAGGGCUGUGAAGCUCUUCUUUCAAUUUCAACACAUGUGAACGGAUGGAGGUUGGAAGUGUUGUUUUUGCCCUUUUUUGAGCAAAAGGAAUGCUUUUCUCAUAAAACCUUUCUUUUCAAUAUUUUCAUUCAAUGAAUCAAUAACCAAUGCAAAAAACAACUCCAAACGGUGGAUGCCUUGGUUCCC
RNAcentral lists this unclassified non-coding RNA (252 nucleotides) under plant metagenome. Its description in RNAcentral is "partial contains small subunit ribosomal RNA and internal transcribed spacer 1". The stretch from base 1 to 53 matches the Rfam family "Eukaryotic small subunit ribosomal RNA", at positions 1778 to 1831 of the family's 1831-position model. The record is from RNAcentral.